GUUCUUCUUCAUGGAUUCUACUGGAAAAAGGUCACUCACUCACUCACUUCUCUCUAAUUUUAAUUUCGUUCACGUUAAUAUAUUAAUAUCGGAACAUACCUUCAGCCUUCAGGGAUAUUCAAAUAUAACUUUGUAAGUUUGAUAUGGGUGUUUCCCGCAAUUGGGUCACGUUUUUGCGUGGAUUGUUUCUCCUCCUCCUUAUCUGUCGUAGCUCUGGAGCUGAAGUUAUUACAGUUGAUGUUCGAGCUGCUAAGAAUCUGCUUGAAUCUGGCUACGGCUAUCUUGAUGUGAGGUACGCAGUUUCAAUUCAACUACUGGCUUUCUAUUUCCUAAUUCUGAUACUUGUAAUUUCUUUUAUUUUUUAAUCUUUAUUUCGUAACUUUGGGCUUGUCUUAAAAUACUAGGACGGCAGAAGAAUUCGAGGAAGGUCAUGUGGAUGCAGCAAAAAUCUUCAACAUUCCUUACAUGUUCAACACUCCAGAAGGUAUAUAACGAUUAUUUUAUUUUAUUUUUUUUAAAAUUCAACUUCUAAUAACCAUGAGCCAUUUCCUUUUUAAUACUUCAGUUAUGAAAAAAUAAUUUGGUUUUUCCUUAUAGGUAGAGUAAAAAAUCCAGAUUUCUUGAAGAAGGUUAGAUCUCUUUGCAAGGAGGAGGAUCGUCUUGUAGUGGUAAUUAAUUGAUCAUGUUCAUAAAUCAGUUGUCGAAAAAUUGGUGUUUGACAGCAAUUAUUCUGAAAAUUGCAGUAGGUGUUAUUUCAAUAGAGCUUCUUUGCAUCUGCAGCCACCUGGGAGGAGCUGUAGGUAUCUUGAUAUCUUCCUCGAGUUCCUCAUGGAAGUUUGGCAUAAUAGUGCUAUCGGGGUCCGCAUAGAUGUUUCGCCUGCCUAAUCCAGGGGUUGUGCGUAAAUAGUGUUUGAUUAUUUAAAACCAUGUGUUGUGCGUAAAUAAUUUGUUGUUAAUUGGUGUAUUCACCAAGAUUUGGCUGUAUCUGCGUACUGUACAUCAGAAUUCUCACUAAUGGAAGCUUAAGUGCUUAACCAAUUUGUACCUGGACUGGGGCUUGAUAUGAUGAAUUAUGUAUGACCCCCAUCCUCUAUAUUUGCUGAAGUGGGUCUCAGCUAUAACCAACCUUAACCCACCGGGCUGACUCUGUGGGUCUACUCUAAAGUUGGCGACGCAGCUACUAGCCUCAGUUUUAAUGCGAAUUUGCCUAUUUGCCAUGGUUGGUUCUUCGCUGGGUAGGUAGGCCAGUUGAUUGGAAUUUUCCUCACGUGACAAAAGCAUGGAACGUUGGUUGAAACUUACCACCAAAACGUUCAAAAACUUUGUUUUCAUAUCACGUCAUUGGAGACCCCUUCGGCUUAACUGUACCUAAAUCCAUCCAUGUCCUUAUCUAUUCAUCAAUAAUGUUCAUACUGGCCGUGACUUGCAAUCUUUUUUAAUGUGAUUAACAAUUUUUUAAAUACUUUAAUAGUAAUCCCACAGAAAUGUAAAGUGAAUAAAAGAAGCAUCCGAACAGCUGCAGCAGCAAUCAGCGAUCGAGUUAGCGCCACAGCACACUUUUUUUCUAACUUCAUCUGGUUUUCCCGGCAAAACAAGCAACUGCUUUACUGCUGCGCCACCAGAUCCCAACACUAAAUAAGGCUCUAUAUAUACAAGCCCAUAAGUUCUUCUUCAUGGAUUCUACUGGAAAAAGGUCACUCACUCACUCACUUCUCUCUAAUUUUAAUUUCGUUCACGUUAAUAUAUUAAUAUCGGAACAUACCUUCAGCCUUCAGGGAUAUUCAAAUAUAACUUUGUAAGUUUGAUAUGGGUGUUUCCCGCAAUUGGGUCACGUUUUUGCGUGGAUUGUUUCUCCUCCUCCUUAUCUGUCGUAGCUCUGGAGCUGAAGUUAUUACAGUUGAUGUUCGAGCUGCUAAGAAUCUGCUUGAAUCUGGCUACGGCUAUCUUGAUGUGAGG
Molecule: long non-coding RNA, 1956 nt
Filed under: Citrus sinensis (sweet orange)
Lineage: Eukaryota; Viridiplantae; Streptophyta; Magnoliopsida; Sapindales; Rutaceae
Description: long non-coding RNA (CSIN_LNC000466)
Source: RNAcentral